RNAcentral lists this unclassified non-coding RNA (19 nucleotides) under Mus musculus (house mouse). Its description in RNAcentral is "oocyte_clustered_small_RNA3799". The record is from RNAcentral. Lineage: Eukaryota; Metazoa; Chordata; Mammalia; Rodentia; Muridae.
GGUCAAGGGUCACAGUUAG